UAAUAAGUGUUUUAUGGCACUUUUUAAAUCCAUAUCCACCUUGUGUGCAAUGUCAGUCGAUCUUCUUCAUGGAGAUCGGCCAAACAUCAACCUUUAUCUUUUAACUCUUUGUCUGAAAAAUAUUAUGAAUAAACAAUUCAAAAUA
Molecule: unclassified non-coding RNA, 145 nt
Filed under: soil metagenome
Description: partial internal transcribed spacer 1
Source: RNAcentral